Molecule: transfer RNA, 88 nt
Filed under: Fluviicola sp.
Lineage: Bacteria; Pseudomonadati; Bacteroidota; Flavobacteriia; Flavobacteriales; Crocinitomicaceae
Also listed under: 1 other name
Description: tRNA-Ser
Rfam family: tRNA
About the family: Transfer RNA (tRNA) molecules are approximately 80 nucleotides in length. Their secondary structure includes four short double-helical elements and three loops (D, anti-codon, and T loops).
Source: RNAcentral
GGAGAAAUGGCAGAGCGGUUGAAUGCACCAGUCUUGAAAACUGGCAUACCGAAGGGUAUCGGGGGUUCGAAUCCCUCUUUCUCCGCCA